UCAUUGUUAGCGUAGGACUAGGAAAAACAGUCUGCAUUAGCCCAUAAAAAUUCAAUCAAUUUACUUUGAGUUUGGGGUCGUGUCCCGAAUUGAUGUAUAUUCCAAUCUGGGAAGUCCAUGAAGAGUAUAAAAGCUUCUAACACUUCGGCAAUUAAUUGUAUCUGAAGCGUCAAGAUCCUAUUAAUUCUUGCAUAAGCUUUCUUUGGUGGUAGGAUCUAAUUUCUCGAAUUUUCCAUUUGGAUAGGAACUUGAUUUAAAGUAAUAUGACCACAUCCUUGGCUACCCCUUCUGCCAAAGGUUUUUAGGAUAAUCUCACCUUGCAUCAUCUCGCCGGAAUUGUUCCAUCGAGAGAAUAAGUGCGUACUUGGGAUAAUUUGAUCUGCCACUUUCAUCUCUUUGACGUUGACUAACAUUUACUGAGCUAUCCGAAUCAACCAAAAUUUGGUUAACACCUGCAUUCAAAAAUCGUUAUGUAAUUAUCGGGACGUGGUUAUGUAGCAUCAAAUUCUGUAUGCAUCUUCAUCGUCGAAAUUGAUACUUUCUUCGGUUGACAUUUCUCGCCUACAUUUUUCAUGUUUGAUUGACAUUUAAGAAACGUUCUUUGCUGUUGCAUAUGUCACUCCAUUAAAUUCUUGUCCUCCAAAAAUAACAUUGACCAUUCAUUUUGGUGAUAGCCCUGGAGGUCUUUCCUUGCUCUGAUUCUUCAUGUAGUAUUUUGAUAUUAGACUAUAUUGAUAAUAUUUACACCUUAAUAUUGUCAUGCUUUAUUAUUAUUUUAUAGGCAAAUGGAUAACAAAAUAUUGUAAUUGGUAUUCUUUUGCUUCACAAAGAAUAAUUUAAGUGAGGAAGCACUACGAAGUAUUUUGAAGUUAAUAAUGUGAAGAAAACGCCCACUCAAGAAGUACUCCGGUAUGAAGAAGCAGAAAAAUAGACCGAGGUAAGAUCCACCGCGAGCGCGGUGGAACCAUGGUCGAUCAAUACGCAAGGCAGAAUGGUCAGCGCUCACCGUGAUCGCGCCGCAAUCUUGCCACGGCCGCGGUGAACUGUUCAAAUGAUAGAAAGUAUGGGCACCAAAGUGUAAUUCGGGGAAAACUUGUUCUAAAUCCUUAUAAACCUUAGAAGCUCGCCAAAAAUAAUUUUUUGCUUCUUUGUGCUCUGGUACUUCUCGAGUGGGUGUUUUCUUCACAUUAUCACCUACAAAACACUCAAUGUUGCUUCCUCACAUAUAGUAUUCCUACGAAACAAGAGAACACUCUUUAGAGUAUUUUAUUG
Molecule: long non-coding RNA, 1272 nt
Filed under: Nicotiana benthamiana
Lineage: Eukaryota; Viridiplantae; Streptophyta; Magnoliopsida; Solanales; Solanaceae
Description: long non-coding RNA (NBEN_LNC041211)
Source: RNAcentral